This 496-nucleotide ribosomal RNA is filed under the name uncultured bacterium. Its description in RNAcentral is "partial 16S ribosomal RNA". It matches the Rfam family "Bacterial small subunit ribosomal RNA", at positions 30 to 523 of the family's 1533-position model. The record is from RNAcentral.
AUUGAACGCUGGCGGAAUGCUUUACACAUGCAAGUCGAACGGUAGAGGGGGCAACCCCUCGAGAGUGGCGAACGGGUGAGUAAUAUAUCGGAACGUGCCCAGUCGUGGGGGAUAACGUAGCGAAAGUUACGCUAAUACCGCAUACGAUCUACGGAUGAAAGCGGGGGAUCGCAAGACCUCGCGCGAUUGGAGCGGCCGAUAUCAGAUUAGGUAGUUGGUGGGGUAAAGGCUCACCAAGGCGACGAUCCGUAACUGGUCUGAGAGGAUGAUCAGUCACACUGGAACUGAGACACGGUCCAGACUCCUACGGGAGGCAGCAGUGGGGAAUAUUGGACAAUGGGCGAAAGCCUGAUCCAGCCAUGCCGCGUGUGUGAAGAAGGUCUUCGGAUUGUAAAGCACUUUAAGUCGGGGGGAAGGGUUGUAGGUUAAUACCUUGCAGCCUUGACGUUACCGACAGAAUAAGCACCGGCUAACUUCGUGCCAGCCGCCGCGGUAA